Molecule: small nuclear RNA, 123 nt
Organism: Rattus norvegicus (Norway rat)
Lineage: Eukaryota; Metazoa; Chordata; Mammalia; Rodentia; Muridae
Source: Ensembl
GUGUGGGAUGUCACAUGAAGAAGUUGGCAGACCUGACAAGGACGGAAGCAGUCCUUGGGCCUGACGACACACAUGAAGGUGUGGCCACCUGCCUUGUGCCGUCAUGACCAACGAAAAGUAUUA